UCCACAGUCUGUAGUGUACUCUGUACAUACACCACUUGCCCCGAGAGCUCAGAGGUUGUCAAGCCUACGCAAGUGCAGAAGAUGGCCGAGCACCACCACCUCCCGCCGGAGCACCCCGACCACCACCACCACAAAGGCGGGAGGAAGGGGGUCUACGCCGACGACGUCAAGCCCGGCUCGCGCGGCCGCUCCCGGUACAGCUACUACUACGGCGGAUACGGGGACGGCGGCG
RNAcentral lists this long non-coding RNA (232 nucleotides) under Sorghum bicolor (sorghum). RNAcentral's name for it is "long non-coding RNA (SBIC_LNC016555)". Lineage: Eukaryota; Viridiplantae; Streptophyta; Magnoliopsida; Poales; Poaceae. The record is from RNAcentral.